RNAcentral lists this ribosomal RNA (273 nucleotides) under uncultured bacterium. RNAcentral describes it as "partial 16S ribosomal RNA". It matches the Rfam family "Bacterial small subunit ribosomal RNA", at positions 523 to 796 of the family's 1533-position model. The record is from RNAcentral.
AUACGGAGGGUGCAAGCGUUACUCGGAAUCACUGGGCGUAAAGCGCGCGCAGGCGGUCUUUUAAGUUGGAUGUGAAAGCCUACGGCUCAACCGUAGAACUGCAUCCAAAACUAUUAGACUAGAGUGUGGGAGAGGAAGAUGGAAUUAGUUGUGUAGGGGUAAAAUCCGUAGAGAUAACUAGGAAUACCAAAAGCGAAGGCAUCUUCUGGAACACUACUGACGCUGAGGCGCGAAAGCGUGGGGAGCAAACAGGAUUAGAUACCCUAGUAGUCC